UACGGAGGGAGCUAGCGUUAUUCGGAAUUACUGGGCGUAAAGCGCACGUAGGCGGCUUUGUAAGUAAGAGGUGAAAGCCCGGGGCUCAACCCCGGAAUUGCCUUUUAGACUGCAUCGCUUGAAUCAUGGAGAGGUCAGUGGAAUUCCGAGUGUAGAGGUGAAAUUCGUAGAUAUUCGGAAGAACACCAGUGGCGAAGGCGGCUGACUGGACAUGUAUUGACGCUGAGGUGCGAAAGCGUGGGGAGCAAACAGG
RNAcentral lists this ribosomal RNA (253 nucleotides) under uncultured bacterium. Its description in RNAcentral is "partial 16S ribosomal RNA". It matches the Rfam family "Bacterial small subunit ribosomal RNA", at positions 524 to 776 of the family's 1533-position model. The record is from RNAcentral.